CCUACGGGGGGCUGCAGUAGGGAAUAUUGCACAAUGGGCGAAAGCCUGAUGCAGCAACGCCGCGUGUGCGAAGAAGGCCUUCGGGUCGUAAAGCACUUUUCUGGGAGAUGAGAAAGGACAGUAUCCCAGGAAUAAGUCUCGGCUAACUACGUGCCAGCAGCCGCGGUAAAACGUAGGAGGCGAGCGUUAUCCGGAUUCACUGGGCGUAAAGCGCGUGCAGGCGGUUUGGUAAGUUGGGCGUGAAAGCUCCCGGCUCAACUGGGAGAGGUCGUCCAAAACUACCAGACUAGAGAGCGAUAGAGGAAAAUGGAAUUCCCGGUGUAGUGGUGAAAUGCGUAGAUAUCGGGAGGAACACCAGUGGCGAAGGCGAUUUUCUGGAUCGUUUCUGACGCUCAGACGCGAAAGCUAGGGUAGCAAACGGGAUUAGAUACCCCUGUAGUCC
This 442-nucleotide ribosomal RNA is filed under the name uncultured bacterium. RNAcentral describes it as "bacterial SSU rRNA". It matches the Rfam family "Bacterial small subunit ribosomal RNA", at positions 338 to 796 of the family's 1533-position model. The record is from RNAcentral.